UACAGAGGGUGCAAGCGUUAAUCGGCUUUACUGGGCGUAAACCGUGCGUAGGCGGCGUUUUAAGUCGGCUGCGAAAUCCCCGAGCUUAACUUGGGAAUUGCAUUCGAUACUGGGAAGCUAGAGUAUGGGAGAGGAUGGUAGAAUUCCAGGUGCAGCGGUGAAAUGCGUAGAGAUCUGGAGGAAUACCGAUGGCGAAGGCAGCCAUCUGGCCUAAUACUGACGCUGAGGUACGAAAGCAUGGGGAGCAAAAAGG
This 253-nucleotide unclassified non-coding RNA is filed under the name uncultured bacterium. Its description in RNAcentral is "contains 16S-23S intergenic spacer region". It matches the Rfam family "Bacterial small subunit ribosomal RNA", at positions 524 to 776 of the family's 1533-position model. The record is from RNAcentral.